UAGAGUUUGAUCAUGGCUCAGAACGAACGCUGGCGGCAUGCCUAACACAUGCAAGUCGAACGAAGUCUUCGGACUUAGUGGCGCACGGGUGCGUAACGCGUGGGAAUCUACCCUUGGGUACGGAAUAACUCAGAGAAAUUUGUGCUAAUACCGUAUAAUGACUUCGGUCCAAAGAUUUAUCGCCCAAGGAUGAGCCCGCGUAAGAUUAGCUAGUUGGUGGGGUAAAAGCCUACCAAGGCGACGAUCUUUAGCUGGUCUGAGAGGAUGAUCAGCCACACUGGGACUGAGACGCGGCCCAGACUCCUACGGGAGGCAGCAGUGGGGAAUAUUGGACAAUGGGCGAAAGCCUGAUCCAGCAAUGCCGCGUGA
Molecule: ribosomal RNA, 369 nt
Filed under: uncultured Sphingopyxis sp.
Lineage: Bacteria; Pseudomonadati; Pseudomonadota; Alphaproteobacteria; Sphingomonadales; Sphingopyxidaceae
Description: bacterial SSU rRNA
Rfam family: Bacterial small subunit ribosomal RNA
Source: RNAcentral